GACGAACGCUGGCGGCGUGCUUAACACAUGCAAGUCGAACGGAAAGGCCCUGCUUUUGUGGGGUGCUCGAUUGGCGAACGGGUGAGUAACACGUGAGUAACCUGCCCUUGACUUUGGGAUAACUUCAGGAGACUGGGGCGCAUACCGGAUAGGAGCUCCUGCUGCAUGUGGUUGGUUGGAAAGUUUCGGCGGUGGGGGAUGGACUCGCGGCUUAUGAGCUUGUUUGUGUGGUAGUGGCUUACCAAGGCUUUGACGGGUAGCCGGCCUGAGAGGGUGACCGGCCACAUGGGGCCUGAGAUACGGACCAGAAUGCUAUGGGAGGCAGAAGUGGGGAAUCUUGCACAAUGGGCGGAAGCCUGAUGCAGCAACGCCGCGUGCGGGAUGACGGGCUUCGGGUUGUAAACCGCUUUCGAAUGUGACGAAGCGUGCGUGACGGUAAUGGGUAAAGAAGCAACGGCUAACUACGUG
This 468-nucleotide ribosomal RNA is filed under the name uncultured bacterium. Its description in RNAcentral is "partial 16S ribosomal RNA". It matches the Rfam family "Bacterial small subunit ribosomal RNA", at positions 28 to 507 of the family's 1533-position model. The record is from RNAcentral.